Molecule: ribosomal RNA, 296 nt
Filed under: uncultured bacterium
Lineage: Bacteria
Description: partial 16S ribosomal RNA
Rfam family: Bacterial small subunit ribosomal RNA
Source: RNAcentral
GGAUUAGAUACCCUGGUAGUCCACGCUGUAAACGAUGAGUACUAGCUGUUGGUCCUGGUGUAAAAGGAUUAGUGGCGCAGCUAACGCGCUAAGUACUCCGCCUGGGGACUACGGCCGCAAGGUUAAAACUCAAAGGAAUUGACGGGGACCCGCACAAGCGGUGGAGCAUGUGGUUUAAUUCGAUGCAACGCGAAGAACCUUACCUACCCUUGACAUCCUAAGAAGACGAAAGAGAUUUUGUUGUGCCUUCGGGAACUUAGAGACAGGUGCUGCAUGGCUGUCGUCAGCUCGUGCUG